Molecule: long non-coding RNA, 4853 nt
Filed under: Salvia miltiorrhiza (redroot sage)
Lineage: Eukaryota; Viridiplantae; Streptophyta; Magnoliopsida; Lamiales; Lamiaceae
Description: long non-coding RNA (SMIL_LNC006392)
Source: RNAcentral
AAUGCAGCAUUACCCCAAAUCCCCGUCUCUGCCUCUCUGAAAGUCAAAGGUCAACCUUUCAACAGAGCUCCGCCUCCGCCCCACUUACCCUUGUAGCAGAGAUCGAAAUACAAAUGCAAAACCUUCUCUCUCUCUAUUACACUCAUCAAAUUCCUUCUUGAUCUUCAAAUGGCGGUGCCGGUAGCACGCUUUCCUAUCUUCCAGGUGGUCAGAAUCAUCGGAGUUACAGUCCUCUUACUCCUCUUAAUUUGGACUCUGCAUUACAGAGGCGGCUUGGCCCUCAUUUUCGAGAAUAAAGAUCUCAUCUUCAAUGUAAAUCUCGCUUCUCUUCUUUCUUUUGUUUCAUGGCUUUUCUUCAUUGAGGAUCAAUCUCGUUUCCUUUUCAUAUUUAUUUCAGGUUCAUCCUGUAUUAAUGGUGAUUAGCCUUGUGCUCCUCAAUGGCGAAGGUAUAGACUUCAUUGUAGGAUGAAAUUGAGUUCUAAUUUGUCGAUAUUAACUCUAAUUGUUGACUGAUUAGGACCCUGCAAGUAGCCAUCUAGAGACUGCAUUUUGUUUGCGAACUAUUGUUUUUGUUUAAUUUGUUGUCGAUACUCUUUUCAAUUAUGUUAACGAUGUUUGAUUUGAUCAGCAUCUGCCUAUGUCUUUAACUUUUUUUUUUUUGUGCUUGGUAAUGGCAAAGUAAUUAGCCUUGCUGGGGUAAGGAAACUACAUCAUUUUUAUUUUUUUUGAAUGGUCUUAGGGAGUGUUUCGCUAAGCUUAUUUUAAAGAGCUUAUAAGAUAUACUAGUUUUUUAUGAGCUUAUAAGUUGUCAAACUGUUUGUAUAAUUGAGCUUAUAAGCUAGAGAGAGAUUUUACACUUAAAGAGAGAAAAUCUUUGUUAGAGAGAGAAAAUCGAAGAGAAAUGAAAUUAGAAAUGAUAUAUGAUGAAAAUAAAAAGCAUAGUUGAGUUAUUUUUGUAAAAUGAGUGUUGCUUAUAAGAUAAUGAGAAAAUGAGUUGGGGUAGAGGAACUUAUUUUUUGGAGAGCUUAUUUUUACAGUUUAUAAACUCUUUAUAAGCUUAUUUUGCCAAAUACUUUGAAUAAGCUUAUAUCCUGUUUUAAAUAGCUUAUGAGCUCAACCAAACACCCUCUUACUGCAGUUGAGUGUGAAUAGUAGAAUUGAGAUAGUUUUGAUCUGUAGUCCAAUUAUAAGCUAUACUGCCCUGAAAAAUUAUAAUUUUCAUACUGAACUGCUUUGAAUAUUUGAGACCUUUUGUAUUAUUAACAUUAGGCUUUAUCAUACGAAAUGUUUUGCACUCUACUCAACCUAGGAAUUGUUGCUCUUCGAUACAUCAAUAUUAGAUGAUAUCUUCUUCUAGUUGUUAAAUUGUUAUACAGCAAGCUUGUGUUUGUUAAAUUUUGUCCUGUAAAUGCACUAGUUUCUGGCGAUCAUAUAUAUAUAUAUAUAUAUAUAUAUAUUUGGACAAAUUUAACUUAAAUGAUAAAGAAACAAUGAACAUUAGUUGAUUAAUCUGCUAGAUUUGUGUCGUAUGUUUAUAUUUAACGAAAUGAAUGUAACUUUAUUUUUCUUCUUCUCCUAGCAUUUUGUGUGAAUAUUCCUCUGGCCAUUAUAAUUGUUUCAUGUCUUGCUUGGACAUCUCAUAUAUGAAAAUGUGUAUUCAUCUGCCGGUGUAUAUGCAAGCUUGCUGGCAGAUUACUUACAUGUUUGCCCCUAUUUUAACUGUAAGCCUUUGAAAUAUAUUUCAAUUGCUUAUCAUAGAUUCUUGCAGCCAUGCUAGCAUACAAGACUGUGUCUGGAACAAAAAACUUCAAAAAGACAGUUCAUCUUUUCCUGCAAUUCCUGGCAUUCUUCUUAAGCAUCAUCGGACUAUGGGCUGCAUGGAAGUUUCACGUUGAUAAAGGCAUUGAUAACUUCUACAGCCUCCACUCGUGGCUGGGGCUAGCCUGCCUCGUCUUAUUUGGAAUUCAGGUGGUCGUUAGGUUCUGUUUUGGAUCGAGUUACUCAGUAAUUCUCUGUUGGCACAAGUGUUUAACAUCCUUCCAAUUUCAUCUGUAGUGGGCGACUGGAUUUGUGACCUUUUGGUAUCCCGGUGGAUCAAGACAUAACCGAUCAAGCCUGAUGCCGUGGCAUGUAUUUCUUGGGAUAUACAUUUACACUCUAGCGGUAGCUACUUGUGCCACUGGUCUUCUGGAGAAGGCAACGUUUCUACAAACACAGAAGAUAAUAUCACGUUACUCGGCUGAGGCAUUGCUGGUGAAUUCUUUGGGGAUCUUAAUUGUUGUUUUGGCAGGUUUUGUGAUUCUUGGGGUGGUCUCUCCUGUGCAUGGGAAAGGUGAAAACCCCAAAGGGAUUGCAGAGGAAUAGCCGCAAGAUCGAUUGGCCAUUGAAACUUUGGUUCAGACUUGAAAUUUUAUAGCACAUUCAAAAUCACAUUUAUUGAGGAUCAAACAAUGGCAAGUAGUUGAUUCAUUGUGACUGUUUGUAAUGCACAGUUUCUCUUUUGAUAUGUGAACUUUUAACAGAAGUCUUGUUACACAAACAUCUUUGAUAUAACUCAUCUCUAAAGACUGGUUAUGAUUAUUAAGGAGAAGGUGCGGUAGGUGUUAUAAUGCGAUGUGGGAUGCACUUGAAUUAUAACAAACCACCGCGUUUCUGAUCCGACGGCCCUCUUUGGCUCUCUCAGGUCGCUCCUUUUGCUACGUGGACAGGAAUGUGAGACCGGCCUUUAUACCAAAAAUGUUACAACACUUUAGAUAGAACUUAUACCUUAAAAAUGAGUCUUAACGAGAGAGUAUUCAAGGUGUUAUUAUACAUCAAAUGCUCAGCCUAUACAUAAUUGUAUUUUAUCCAAAGGUCCUUAUAGAUAAAACUUAGAUAGAACUUAUACAUAAUUGUAUAUUAUCCGAAAAUGUUACAACACCUUAGAUAGAAUUUAUACCUAAAAAAUGAUUCUUAACGAGAGAGUAUUCGAGGUGUUAAUUGAAUGCCCAAUCAUCUAUUCAAACUAACUAUACCGAUCAAGAAAGCAUGUUUUUUUAUGCAUUGCAUAAAAGCACAUUGUUGCCCUUCAUCCAACAUCAAAAUUUCAUAAAGUAAUUUCUUCUUCAAUGCAUAGGAGAGUUUGAGGGUUUUUUUUAAAAAUUGUUUUAAUAUCUGUAAUUUUGGAAAAGGACAUGUAACAUGGGCCAAUAAGCUUCCAAGAUCAAUGGGCUUAAACUGCCUUCAUCAAGGGUAAUUCUAUUCAUAGCCCUAAUUUUACUCCUCGUAGCCUUUAAUUUAAUAAAAUAUUAAUUAAAAGACUAUUUCAUCCUUAUUAUCUCUAAUUAAUCCCUUCAAGUAGUCUCUCCACGGUGCCGCCUUUGCAGAUUUCUCCGCCAUCAUCUCCAACCUCGCACUUUGCUCUACCAUCCUCAAUUGGUGUCGCCGCCACCAGCCCCCGAUCCCCCUCAACUUCUACUUUGUCGAGAAAAUCUUCUGCCAAUUGAUGCCCUCGCCACCUCCACCACCUGAUUUAACUAAAUUUGGCCCAUGAAGUUUGUGAAAUUCUCAAAGUGAAGACAAACAGUGGGAAGAGUCCCUUCAAAAUCGUUUCUUUGGAGAGGAUAUUGCACUUUCUGAAGUUGCCCACCUAGUGUUCAACAAAAUUCAUGACUGCAUAUUGGGUCUUAAGUUCUAGGAUUUCAUCUCUCAUAACAGUUAUGAAUGGGUUUGCUUAUUCCUCAUUUUUGAAGCUCUUGGCUCAGUCUAGAGUCUUCGCAGAAAUUGACAUGAGUGUUUGCAUUUUGAAGAGAAGCGGCCUACUGAUCACGAGGCUUUAGGCGUUUGUAAUUACUCCAUCUCAAAGUGUAAAAUGAGGGCUACAAAUAGAAUCACCCAUUACUCUUGAACCAAUCUUUCAACCUCUAAUUUAAUUUAAAGCCCAUUUAACUUCCUAAUAGGUUGCCCUUUCUACUUAAAUAAUUAUCCGAUAAUUCUUGUUUUAUUUUUAAUAGAGAAAAAAAACGAAUUAAAAAAAAAAAACAGCCGCCGUCAUCUUCUAUUCUUCUCCCCUUCCAAUUUCCAUAAACCCCUAAUCCUCACCUGAAACCCCUACCACACUAGUACCAGUGCGGCGGUACCAGUUAAACAACCCAGCCGCCACCGCCACCUCUCCUCCGCCGCCCCCUCGUGCCCAGCCAGAAGAGCCCGCAGGCCGCAGCCGCCUCGCCCAGCGCCGCAAGCACGCAGGACCAGCUCUGCUCUGCGCCGCCGCCCUCAGACGCAUUGGAAUCUCAGACUAAGGUAGGUAAAUAAUUUUCUCCCUUGGCUUCAAUUUUCUUUGCUAUCGCAUUCGCAAAUCGCAAUUUGACAAAAUGGUGAAACCAAACUAGUAUUGGAAUUGGAAUUCUUUUUUCCUUACGGUAUUUUGAUGUGGCAGUCUCUGGAUUCCACUUUUGUUUUAUAUGUUUAAAUUUGCGAGCUUCAGAAUUUUGAAAGGAAUGAAGCUCGUUGCUCAACAAAAGAAUUUCGAGUCGACAAAAAUACUUUGACAAAAUAUAGCAAAGCGACGUCGCUUUUUUAUAUUCCUUCCUUCUAAAUGCGGCAUUUCCCCAAAUCUCCCGUCUCUGCCUCUCUGAAAGUCAAAGGUUCAAUCUUUCAACAGAGCUCCUCCGCCUCCGCCCCACCUACCCUGUGGCAGAGAUCGAAAUACAAAUGCAAAACCUUCUCUCUCUCUAUUACACUCAUCAAAUUCCUUCUUGAUCUUUCAAAUGGCGGUGCCCGUAGCACGCUUUCCUAUCUUCCCGGUGGUCAGAAUCAUCGGAGUUACAGUCCUCUUACUCCUCUUAAUUUGGACUCUGCAUUACAGAGGCGGC